RNAcentral lists this ribosomal RNA (468 nucleotides) under uncultured bacterium. Its description in RNAcentral is "partial 16S ribosomal RNA". It matches the Rfam family "Bacterial small subunit ribosomal RNA", at positions 28 to 507 of the family's 1533-position model. The record is from RNAcentral.
GACGAACGCUGGCGGUGUGCUUAACACAUGCAAGUCGAACGGUAAGGCCCUUUCGGGGGUACACGAGUGGCGAACGGGUGGGUAACACGUGAGUAACCUGCCCUCAUCUCUGGGAUAAAAGUCGGAAACGGUUGCGAAUACUUGAUAUGAACUUGCAAGGCAUCCUGUGGGUUGGAAAGAUUUUUUUUGGUGGGGGAUGGGCGCGCGGCCUAUCAGCUUGUUGGUGUGGUAGUGGCUCACCAAGGGUCCGACGGGUAGCCGCCCUGAGAGGGGGAGAGGCCACACUGUGACACAGAUACGGCCCAAACUCUUACGGGGGGCAGAAGUGGGGAAUAUUGCACAAUGGACGGAAGUCUGAUGUAGCAACGCCGCGUGCGGGAUGAGGGCGUUCGGGUUGUAAACCGCUUUCUAUUGUGACGAAGCUUUUUUGUGACGGUAGCAGUAGAAGAAGCACCGGCUAACUACGUG